GACGAACGCUGGCGGCGUGCCUAAUACAUGCAAGUCGAACGAACCGCGACUAAGUGCUUGCACUAAGUCAAGGUGAGUGGCGAACGGGUGAGUAACACGUGGGUAACCUACCUCAUAGUGGGGGAUAACAGUCGGAAACGACUGCUAAUACCGCAUAGGACAUAGGAUCACAUGAUCCAGUGAGGAAAGGUGGCGCAAGCUAUCGCUAAGAGAUGGACCCGCGGUGCAUUAGCUAGUUGGUGGGGUAAAGGCCUACCAAGGCGAUGAUGCAUAGCCGACCUGAGAGGGUGAUCGGCCACAUUGGGACUGAGACACGGCCCAAACUCCUACGGGAGGCAGCAGUAGGGAAUCUUCCGCAAUGGACGCAAGUCUGACGGAGCAACGCCGCGUGAGUGAAGAAGGUCUUCGGAUCGUAAAGCUCUGUUGUUAGAGAAGAACAGCGCACAGAGUAACUGCUAUGCGUGUGACGGUAUCUAACCAGAAAGCCACGGCUAACUACGUG
RNAcentral lists this ribosomal RNA (502 nucleotides) under uncultured bacterium. RNAcentral describes it as "partial 16S ribosomal RNA". It matches the Rfam family "Bacterial small subunit ribosomal RNA", at positions 28 to 507 of the family's 1533-position model. The record is from RNAcentral.